UGGGGAAUAUUGCACAAUGGAGGGAACUCUGAUGCAGCGACGCCGCGUGAGUGAAGAAGUAUUUCGGUAUGUAAAGCUCUAUCAGUAGGGAAGAUAAUGACGGUACCUACAUAAGAAGCCCCGGCUAAAUACGUGCCAGCAGCCGCGGUAAUACGUAUGGGGCAAGCGUUAUCCGGAUUUACUGGGUGUAAAGGGAGCGUAGGCGGCAGUACAAGUCGGGAGUGAAAACUCGGGGCUCAACCCCGAGACUGCUCUCGAAACUGUACAGCUAGAGUGCAGGAAGGGCAGGCGGAAUUCCUGGUGUAGCGAUGAAAUGCGUAGAUAUCAGGAGGAACACCGGUGGCGAAGGCGGCCUGCUGGACUGUAACUGACGCUGAGGCUCGAAAGCGUGGGGAGCGAACAGG
RNAcentral lists this ribosomal RNA (404 nucleotides) under Verrucomicrobiota bacterium. Its description in RNAcentral is "Verrucomicrobia bacterium partial 16S ribosomal RNA". It matches the Rfam family "Bacterial small subunit ribosomal RNA", at positions 355 to 776 of the family's 1533-position model. The record is from RNAcentral. Lineage: Bacteria; Pseudomonadati; Verrucomicrobiota.